RNAcentral lists this ribosomal RNA (216 nucleotides) under Glomeromycotina sp. RNAcentral's name for it is "partial small subunit ribosomal RNA". The stretch from base 87 to 216 matches the Rfam family "Eukaryotic small subunit ribosomal RNA", at positions 733 to 864 of the family's 1831-position model. Lineage: Eukaryota; Fungi; Glomeromycota. The record is from RNAcentral.
GGGUCAGUAGGUUGGUCGUGCCACCGGUACGUACUGGUCUCACUGAUUCCUCCUUCCUGAAGAACCGUAAUGCCAUUAACUUGGCGUUGCGGGGAAACAGGACUGUUACUUUGAAAAAAUUAGAGUGUUUAAAGCAAGCUAACGCUUGAAUACAUUAGCAUGGAAUAAUGAAAUAGGACGAUCGAUCCUAUUUUGUUGGUUUCUAGGAUUGACGUA